GAUGAACGCCGGCGGCGUGCCUAAUACAUGCAAGUCGAGCGAACGGACGAGAAGCUUGCUUCUCUGAUGUUAGCGGCGGACGGGUGAGUAACACGUGGAUAACCUACCUAUAAGACUGGGAUAACUUCGGGAAACCGGAGCUAAUACCGGAUAAUAUUUUGAACCGCAUGGUUCAAAAGUGAAAGACGGUCUUGCUGUCACUUAUAGAUGGAUCCGCGCUGCAUUAGCUAGUUGGUAAGGUAACGGCUUACCAAGGCAACGAUGCAUAGCCGACCUGAGAGGGUGAUCGGCCACACUGGAACUGAGACACGGUCCAGACUCCUACGGGAGGCAGCAGUAGGGAAUCUUCCGCAAUGGGCGAAAGCCUGACGGAGCAACGCCGCGUGAGUGAUGAAGGUCUUCGGAUCGUAAAACUCUGUCAUUAGGGAAGAACAUAUGUGUAAGUAACUGUGCACAUCUUGACGGUACCUAAUCAGAAAGCCACGGCUAACUACGUG
RNAcentral lists this ribosomal RNA (497 nucleotides) under uncultured bacterium. Its description in RNAcentral is "partial 16S ribosomal RNA". It matches the Rfam family "Bacterial small subunit ribosomal RNA", at positions 28 to 507 of the family's 1533-position model. The record is from RNAcentral.